CAUAUUAUAAUGCAUAAUAUAAUUCAUGACCGACCAUAACUCUUUACUUUAUAGUCCAAAAAGGAAAUUCUUAUUAUAAUUCCACAAAUCAAAGCUAGGCAUAAACAUUAGGCCAGUCUUGCAUGGCCAUUAUACAUUUACCCUUCUAAAUAAUCCAGCUCCCCAAAAAAAAAUUAAUUUAUACGUGCCAUAUUUCUAGAUCAGAUUAUAAGAUAUUAAAAUAGCUGAUAGUGUGAUGAUCUUACUGACCGUUCCCCGAGCUUGCAGUUUAACUUCCAAAAAUCUAUAAAAUAAAAUAAAUAAACACACAGGGUAAGCUAACUCGACUUAGUAAGUCACAAGUAAAUAUUCAAUACUAUGACAAUUAAUCAUAGAUCAAAAAUAUAAUAUUACAUUCAAGUAAAUAAUUUGGCUAUUGAAAAGAAUUUAUAAUCAUGUACUGCCCAUGUAUCUAAUUCCCUUUGACCGAAUGCCCAACUUAUAACAUCAGAUAUAUUUCCCACUUACAAUCUUAUUAUCAUACACAUGGCCGUAUAUACUCCCUUACCUGAACACAUUCAUAAAUCUCAUUUCGUUGUACAUAUAAUCAUAUUUUAAACCCUAGUAGCUCAAUCGUUAUUCAAUCAUAAUUUCACUUCAUGCUAACAAAUAAUUUCCAUUAGGCCGAAUGUAACCUUCCUGUCAUAUACACAUAAUUUUCAUAUGUCACCUUCGCAGCUCACCUCAUGUCUUGAUAACCAACUUACCUUAUUUCAUAGAGAUUCAAUUGCCACGUAUACGACUUCUUCUAGUCUAAUUAAAUAUUUAUGAAUCAAUAUACUAAAAAAAAAUCGUCAACCUCACAGACCCAGUGCCAUAUAUCAGUAACGUAUCGCACACUUAGUGCCGUUACAUUAAUAUUAUCGCACACUUAGUGCUAAAGUCUCAUGACGUAUCGCAUACUUAGUGCCGUCACUUUAUUUCUCGUACACUUGAUGUUAAAUUUCAUCAAAUCAGUUUUACAUAUAAAUUUUAUAUUCCUCAAACCAACAUAUAAAUUUUACGUUUAAUUACUUAUAUAACAGUACAAUUAUACUUAAAACUUACCUCAGACGAUAUAAAACGAAACGGAACGGCUAGUUGACCACCUUCGUUUUUCCCCGGUCCAACUCCGAUUUUCUUGGUUCUUGAUCUAAACACAUUCAAAUUAAGCUUAUUCAAACAUGUCAUCAUUCAAUUUAGUCCAAAAACACACAAAUGGGUAAAUUACCAUUUUAUCCCUGACAUUUACAUUUUUUUUAAUUUAAUCCAUAUUGCACAAAACACGAAAUAAGCAAAAUUUAACAAUAUCUUGCUUAGGCCGAAUACUCCUAGCACACAUAUAAGUCCAUAUGUUUCACCAAUUUCACAUUUUAGUCCCUUAGAUUUUUAUUUUUGCUAUUAAGUCCUAAUUACUCAAAAUUAUCAAAAAUUCCAAUACAACAUAUGUAAACCCAACCUUUAUCUUUCUUAAUUCAUCAACAACCAACAAAAAUCACAAGCUCUCCUCAAUGGCAUAACUCAAAAUAUUCACCAAAAUCAAAAAUUCAAGCAUGAGUUUUAUAGUACUCAAAGCAACGAUCUCAAAAACGUAAAAAUUAUCAAAAACCGAGCUAGGACUUACCUUGAAUUAAGCUUGGAAGUGUACGAACCCUAGCUUUAUGUUUUCUUCUUUUCUUUGUUUUAUGUUCGACAAUGAAGAGAAAAAAAU
This 1729-nucleotide long non-coding RNA is filed under the name Gossypium barbadense (sea-island cotton). RNAcentral describes it as "long non-coding RNA (GBAR_LNC003085)". Lineage: Eukaryota; Viridiplantae; Streptophyta; Magnoliopsida; Malvales; Malvaceae. The record is from RNAcentral.